Molecule: long non-coding RNA, 2947 nt
Organism: Spinacia oleracea (spinach)
Lineage: Eukaryota; Viridiplantae; Streptophyta; Magnoliopsida; Caryophyllales; Amaranthaceae
Exons: 3
Source: RefSeq, a predicted model, not a curated record
CAUCUUACAUACACAGUUUAGUUAUGCACGAUAUAUAUUUAUUGUUUGAUGGAUUAUGGGGUGAGCCAAGGCCCACGUAGGCACCCCCUAUUUCUGUUGUUGCCCUUAGUCAUCAACACAUCCACCAUGAUCACUAAUACACCUCCACGCCAACACCAUCCCACAACCACAUGCCACUCUCGUUAGAUCGCCGGAGCUGCCAUCCUCUUCGUUUUCGCUGGUGUGGUCAUCCUCGUCGGAACCAACCACCACAAAAAUCACCACCGCCCAUGAAAACCCAACCACCAUCUUCGCUUGAGUUGCCAUCUUUGCCAGAGCCAACCACCACAAAACCCACCCCAACCCUUGAAAAAACUAACCCAACACCCAACACACCACCUCAAAUAACCACACCACCCAUAAAUCGACUUUGACCACCAAACCCACCCUUAAAACAAACCCAACCACCCAGAAAAACAUCGAACCCACCCCUAAGACAACCCUAACCAACAAAUCUAAGAGAUAGAGGAGAGAAAAAAAAAUUACCUUGAGGUGAGAGGAAUGAGGGCGCCGGCGAAGGAGAGGUGUCGGGGAUGUCAGGGGGGGAGGGGGACAUUGUGCAAGAGCGGAAGGAGGAGACAUGGUGGUGGUUCUCAUGGAGGUCAGGGAUUCAGGGAAGUAUAGUGUGGUGGGGUGAAUUCUAAUACUUCUAAAACAAACAAGGUACGAAAUUAAACACUUUUGCUCUCCUUUCUCUUUUUUUCCCUUUCUUGAUGUCAUUCCCUUUCCGGACCCCUAAAUGUAUUGGGUUUAGAAAACUAGGAGAGGUAGGUAUGGCUCAUACCUUUACUUCAGAUAUCAAACAAAAGAAAAAAUCUCAUCCCCAAAUCAAAACCAAACAUAUGGAAUUAAGAAUCAAGUUUCAAACUCAUACCACCUUCAUAUCAUUCCCGAUUUCAACCUCAUGUCAGUUUGCGAACCAAACGCCUCCUAAGCUUGUUUGGUAUGGGAGAAUUGGGAUGGGAAUAAGCUGAAUAACCGAAUAAGGGAAUAAGGAAUUGGAUAGAUUUAUUUUAUAUGUCUAUUUUUUUAUUUUAUUUUUGGGGGGAAAUUUGACUUCAACGGUAUCACCUAAAAAAUUGAUAAAUGAUGUUUUAUCACCUUAAAAAAUAGAAAUUUUAUUUUAGCACCUAAAAUUAUUUUUUAACACAUCUUAACGGUAAGAUGAACAGAAACGUUGUGUGGACCUUAUUUCAACAACUACAAUUUGCCCUUGCUUCCCAUUAAUUCACAUCACCGGGUAAUAUUUCUCAAAUUGAUCAAGGAAUAAUUAUUUUUCAUAUUUGCAAAGGAGAAUCAAAUUGUUUUAAGGUAUGCUUUAUGUUUGAUUUGCGUCAAAAAGGGACGUCGCAUAACGUUUAUGUCCUUGCGAUUAAGAGGUGGUAAAAAACAAUUUUUAUUUUAUUUUCAUGUGGUAAAAUACAAUUUCUACUUUUGUUUUAGGUGGUAAAAAAUAAUUUGCCAAAUGUUUUAGGUGUUAAAGGUUAAUUUACCCUUUUUUCUAAUCUUUUAUAAUACGGAGUAGCACACAAAAAUGCGUUACAUCCCUGUUUUUCUUUAAAAACUAAGGAGUGUUUUUGACGGCUUUUUCAUGAAAUGACCAUUACGUUUAACGGAAUGCACGAAACACACUCAACUUUACAGAAAUGCACAAAAUGCCCUUAUGACCUUUUUCCGUCUAUUCAAUUAACUUUUCCGUUAACAUAAACUCUAAUUUUAUUUUUAUUUUCUUUCUCUUUCUCUUUCUCUUUCCCUUUCCCUUUUUUUCUUUUGUCAUUUUCUCCUUCCCGUGUAUUCUUUCUCCUACCUCUUCCACAUCUCCACUAAUAAUGUCAUCUUCUCCACGUCGCUACUACGCCACUACCGUCCAGCUUUGCCACCCCAAUCUCGCCAUUAUCUCACGAGCUUCAUUAAAAGUGCAAAUUUGAUGUUUUAAAGGUUAAAUUCUACCAUAAAGCUCUUGUUCUACUGGUUGAAUUUUCCUAAAAACCUGCACUUCCGAUUAUACUUGUAGUUCGUCAAGAUGUCUAACUUAAGUCGUAAAAAACGAUGGUAUAGUGGGAAGAGAAGACUCAUGUUACUAUUGAUGUAUCAAAUCCUCCUUAUUAAAUACUAAUAUAGAUUUCGUUUUUCAAACUUUUAACCACAUGCCUUCAAUCCCCUAAUCCUCAAGUUAUGUGCAUUCUUUUUUUUUCAAAACUACCAAUUUUCUUUUUAACUUCUCAUAACUUUCUAUAACUUCCAACAUUAUUUUCAUGCACACGUACAUUCUAUGAGUAUUUUGAAUGUGAUUACUAUAGAACCACAAAUGGGGGCCUCUACAAGCAAAGUUCUAAGUGAUAUUGGAUCUUUGAUCGGAAACGUUAUCGCUACUCCAUUUAAAUCCACCUUUGGUCAAUCAUGUCAGACGUGUGUAAUGGAAGAUGGAAAGUUAUUUGUUUUAUCGAGCACAUCUGCAUAUAUAACUGACCUGGUGAAAUUCUCGCUUGCUUGUUGUAUACAUAUUCGUGGAGAGAGACAGGAAGACGGCGAAGAAUGAAGCAAUGUAGGAGUGUAAGGUUGAAGAAAGGGCAAGUGUCUGUUCGUUUGAGAGGCAAGUCGAGGAGGAGGUGGAGGAGGUGGAGGUGAAGGAGGAGAAGGAAUCAACUAACUGAUGAAUGAAGUUCAAAUGUCAAGUUUGAGAAAGAGUAGAAGAAGUAAUACUACCAAGUUUAAGAAGCAAAGGACAAGAUGAUAACAUCUUUGGAUUAUUGUUAAAUUAUCUCAGCCAUUGUGAGAGAGAUGUACUAAAAGUCCAAAAUAUAUUAUAAUAUGUGAAAACUCAAAUUUUAGGUCCGUGUGUGUUCAACAAUACUACGAUAUGUAUCGGUUCUAAAAAGUGAAUCAAAUACUUCCUCAUUCUUAUUUA